CUGUUGCACCAGAGAGUGCUUUCAGUACUGGUGGGAGAGUACUAGAUCCCUUUAGAAGUUCUUUAACUCCCAGAAUUGUGGAGGCUUUGAUAUGUGCACAAGAUUGGAUACGUUCCUCAAAUUGUCCAAUAAAUGUUGAGGAAGAUUUAGAGAAACUUGUAAAGCUUGAAAAAGGGUAUGCAAUAAAUACAUGUAUUUAGAUCAUUUUUAUCUUUUAAUAUUUUCAUUUCAAUAUGGAUUGAUUUUUUUUUCCAUUAUAUAAUUCAAUUUUCAGUACUACCAAGUGUUGGCCUAACCCAAUUAGGGGGAUCAAGUUGUUCAACUUCUACCCUUAACUCUUAGAUGUUACCAAAAGCUGCUGCCUCCUUAUUUGAGGAUGUUUUUGGAUUUGGUCGGACUGCUCAAAAUCAAAUUGUUGGAAAUUUGAUGGAUUUUAAUAUUAUGUUUAAUUCUGUAGUUAUUUGAUGGAUUUUAAUAUGGACUGUAUUUAAUUUUUAUCUAGUUGGAGAUUUGGUAAUUUAUUAUUAUGUUGUUUUAUGGAUUUUAAUGAAAACUGAACUAAAUUGUAUUUA
Long non-coding RNA from Hevea brasiliensis (rubber tree), 572 nucleotides. RefSeq lists it as uncharacterized. The record is from RefSeq and is a predicted model, not a curated record. Lineage: Eukaryota; Viridiplantae; Streptophyta; Magnoliopsida; Malpighiales; Euphorbiaceae. The transcript is spliced from 2 exons.